This 1087-nucleotide long non-coding RNA is filed under the name Astyanax mexicanus (Mexican tetra). RNAcentral describes it as "lncRNA (ENSAMXG00005019827.1)". Lineage: Eukaryota; Metazoa; Chordata; Actinopteri; Characiformes; Acestrorhamphidae. The record is from RNAcentral.
UUUCAUUCUCUUUUAUCUUAUUACCUCUUUCUCAUUGCUUCCCUCUCACUCUAUAUUCAUCAUUACUAUCGCUCUCUUAACGCUUUCUUCCUAUCUCUCAUCCUUAUUUCUCUCCCUUUCUCUCUCAUUCUGCACCCCUCACACUUUCUUGUGUAUUCCAUUUCACUUAUUCCUAUCUCUUUCUCAUACAUCUCUUAAUUCCUAACGCACUCUCUCACUAACUCUCCCACUCAUCCCCUCUGUCUCUCACUCUUUUUCUGUACCUCCCUGCCUCGCUCUUGUUUUUUUACUGCUUAUUCUCUUUCUUAGUCUCUCUCACUUACUCUCUCCUCCCUAUCUCCAUCUUUUAACUCUUUAUUAAUCUCUCUCCCAUUCUCUCUCCUCUUCCGUCUAUAUUUCCCACUGUUUUUGUACACCCGUCUCUCACUAUCACUCUCUCUCACUCUGUACCUCUUUUUCCCCUCACCCCUUCCUCACACUAUCUCUCUGCUACUUGUUCUCUCCAUCACUCUCUCUCUCUAUCUUCAGUUAAUUCUCACUAUCUCUCUCUCUCUCUCAUCACUCUCUCUUCAGUUCAUUCUUUCUAUUUCUCACCUCUCUCUCUUUAGUUCAUUCUUUCUAUCUCUCUCUCUCUCUCUCUCUUCAUCUCUCUCUCUUCAGUUCAUUCUUCCUAGCUCUCUCUCUCUAUAAUAACCCCUCUCUUCUCCUACUCUUCCUCUCACUCACUACUCCUCGCUCUGUUUAUCCUUCUCUCACUCUCUUCACUCCCCCUCCCAUCCCCUUACUCUCUCUCUCUCUCUCUCUCUCUCUCUCUCUCUCUCUCUCUCUCUCAGUGUGUGCAGUAAUAGAAGGCAGACAUGGCGACGGUGGUCCAGCCGCUGACUCUGGAGCGAGAUGUGGCGCGGGCGAUCGAGCUACUGGAGAAGCUGCAGGAGUCAGGAGAUGUUCCUGGCCACAAGCUCCAGUCCCUGAAGAAGGUUCUUCAGAGUGAGUUCUGCACGGCCAUCAGAGAGGUCAGUUAUCUCCACCCCCAAAAGUCAGAAAUGAACAUAUUUAACCUGUAAAAACAGUAUAUUAGUGGGAAUAU